Molecule: ribosomal RNA, 877 nt
Filed under: uncultured Staphylococcus sp.
Lineage: Bacteria; Bacillati; Bacillota; Bacilli; Caryophanales; Staphylococcaceae
Description: bacterial SSU rRNA
Rfam family: Bacterial small subunit ribosomal RNA
Source: RNAcentral
GUGCCUAAUACAUGCAAGUCGAGCGAACAGACGAGGAGCUUGCUCCUCUGACGUUAGCGGCGGACGGGUGAGUAACACGUGGAUAACCUACCUAUAAGACUGGGAUAACUUCGGGAAACCGGAGCUAAUACCGGAUAAUAUAUUGAACCGCAUGGUUCAAUAGUGAAAGACGGUUUUGCUGUCACUUAUAGAUGGAUCCGCGCCGCAUUAGCUAGUUGGUAAGGUAACGGCUUACCAAGGCAACGAUGCGUAGCCGACCUGAGAGGGUGAUCGGCCACACUGGAACUGAGACACGGUCCAGACUCCUACGGGAGGCAGCAGUAGGGAAUCUUCCGCAAUGGGCGAAAGCUUGACGGAGCAACGCCGCGUGAGUGAUGAAGGUCUUCGGAUCGUAAAACUCUGUUAUUAGGGAAGAACAAAUGUGUAAGUAACUAUGCACGUCUUGACGGUACCUAAUCAGAAAGCCACGGCUAACUACGUGCCAGCAGCCGCGGUAAUACGUAGGUGGCAAGCGUUAUCCGGAAUUAUUGGGCGUAAAGCGCGCGUAGGCGGUUUUUUAAGUCUGAUGUGAAAGCCCACGGCUCAACCGUGGAGGGUCAUUGGAAACUGGAAAACUUGAGUGCAGAAGAGGAAAGUGGAAUUCCAUGUGUAGCGGUGAAAUGCGCAGAGAUAUGGAGGAACACCAGUGGCGAAGGCGACUUUCUGGUCUGUAACUGACGCUGAUGUGCGAAAGCGUGGGGAUCAAACAGGAUUAGAUACCCUGGUAGUCCACGCCGUAAACGAUGAGUGCUAAGUGUUAGGGGGUUUCCGCCCCUUAGUGCUGCAGCUAACGCAUUAAGCACUUCGCCUGGGGAGUACGACCGCCAGGUUGAAACUC